GACGAACGCUGGCGGCGUGCUUAACACAUGCAAGUCGAACGGGUCUGCCCUGUUUUUUGCGGGGUGGGUCAGUGGCGAACGGGUGAGUAACACGUGAGUAACCUGCCCCUCACUUCUGGGUAACCGCUUGAAAGGGUGGCUAAUACGGGGUGUUCUGGCUGUGCCGCAUGGUGUGGGUGGGCAUGAUUCAUUUUUGUGUUGUUUUGGCGGGGGAUGGGCUCGCGGCUUAUCAGCUUGUUGGUGGGGUGAUGGCCUGGCACGGCGUUGACGGGUAGCCGGGCUGAGAGGGUGAGCGGUCACGCUGGGGCUGCGCGACGGCCCAGACUACUGCGGGCGGCAGCAGGGGAGGGUAGUGCACAGGGGGCGGACGGCUGAUGCAGCGACGUCGCGUGGGAGAUGGAGUCCUUCGGGUUGUGAACCUCUUUCGCCGGUGAAGAAGGUCCUGCUAUUUGUGGUGGGGUUUGCGGUAGCCGGGUUAUGAAGCGCCGGCUAACUACGUG
RNAcentral lists this ribosomal RNA (500 nucleotides) under uncultured bacterium. RNAcentral describes it as "partial 16S ribosomal RNA". It matches the Rfam family "Bacterial small subunit ribosomal RNA", at positions 28 to 507 of the family's 1533-position model. The record is from RNAcentral.